GGCUGUCGUCAGCUCGUGUUGUGAAAUGUUGGGUUAAGUCCCGCAACGAGCGCAACCCUUAUCCUUGUUUGCCAGCGAGUAAUGUCGGGAACUCCAGGGAGACUGCCGGUGAUAAACCGGAGGAAGGUGGGGACGACGUCAAGUCAUCAUGGCCCUUACGAGUAGGGCUACACACGUGCUACAAUGGCGCAUACAGAGGGCAGCCAACUUGCGAGAGUGAGCGAAUCCCAAAAAGUGCGUCGUAGUCCGGAUCGGAGUCUGCAACUCGACUCCGUGAAGUCGGAAUCGCUAGUAAUCGUG
This 300-nucleotide ribosomal RNA is filed under the name uncultured Vibrio sp. Its description in RNAcentral is "bacterial SSU rRNA". It matches the Rfam family "Bacterial small subunit ribosomal RNA", at positions 1047 to 1346 of the family's 1533-position model. The record is from RNAcentral. Lineage: Bacteria; Pseudomonadati; Pseudomonadota; Gammaproteobacteria; Vibrionales; Vibrionaceae.